AACGAACGCUGGCGGCAUGCCUAACACAUGCAAGUCGAACGAGACCUUCGGGUCUAGUGGCGCACGGGUGCGUAACGCGUGGGAACCUGCCCUUAGGUUCGGAAUAACUCCCCGAAAGGGGUGCUAAUACCGGAUAAUGUCUUCGGACCAAAGAUUUAUCGCCUUUGGAUGGGCCCGCGUUGGAUUAGAUAGUUGGUAGGGUAAAAGCCUACCAAGGCGACGAUCCAUAGCUGGUCUGAGAGGAUGAUCAGCCACACUGGGACUGAGACACGGCCCAGACUCCUACGGGAGGCAGCAGUGGGGAAUAUUGGACAAUGGGCGAAAGCCUGAUCCAGCAAUGCCGCGUGAGUGAUGAAGGCCUUAGGGUUGUAAAGCUCUUUUACCCGGGAUGAUAAUGACAGUACCGGGAGAAUAAGCUCCGGCUAACUCCGUG
This 433-nucleotide ribosomal RNA is filed under the name uncultured bacterium. RNAcentral's name for it is "partial 16S ribosomal RNA". It matches the Rfam family "Bacterial small subunit ribosomal RNA", at positions 29 to 507 of the family's 1533-position model. The record is from RNAcentral.